UAAUACGUGCUGCAGCCAAGGAUGACUUGCCGUCAUCAACCAACUUCUCCUCCUCUUCGAUCGGUAUAACUUUAUUUUUAUUUUUAAUUUUAUUACUAGAGAGAAUAGGAUUUGAAACUAUUACAAAAAUUUAAGAAAGAUGAGUGUUUCAAAUCCGAAACGCAUGGGUGGUAUCUGAACACUCUAAACCGUUAUAACUUAUUAUGAUGCAAGAAAAUUAGUCCAAAGCAUAGGUUAGGAUUUGUUUUGCUACGAUCGUUAGCUCUAAAAGCGUGGAUUGGUGGCAAUUAGGAAGAGGUAGGUGUAUUUCGAGCAGAGAUAACCGGCAAGUUGUCCGUGGCUACAUGUCUAUCUCA
RNAcentral lists this microRNA precursor (356 nucleotides) under Malus domestica (apple). The record is from RNAcentral. Lineage: Eukaryota; Viridiplantae; Streptophyta; Magnoliopsida; Rosales; Rosaceae.